CCGCUCGGCGGCGCCGUCCAGCGCCUUGAGGUGCGCGUUCUUCGGGUCAUCUGCCAUCGCCGCCGCCAUCAGACGAUAUCCAUCCAAGAACACAACGUUAGUCAGGUGCCCUGCUAGCUUGUACGUACGUACAAUAUGCGUGUGUGUGCGAAUCCGUGCAUGCCUGGGUUCCUGACGGUGCCCUUGACAGUGUAUCCCUUCUCGAGCAGCAGCUUCACCAGCCACGACGCGAUGUACCCGGCCGCGCCGGUGACGCACACGGUCUGCCCGUUCCCCGCCGGCGGAACCACCGCCGCGGCGGCGGCGGACACGGCUUCGACCACGGUCAUACUGACGACGAGACGACGACGGCGGCGGC
RNAcentral lists this long non-coding RNA (358 nucleotides) under Setaria italica (foxtail millet). Its description in RNAcentral is "long non-coding RNA (SITA_LNC004700)". The record is from RNAcentral. Lineage: Eukaryota; Viridiplantae; Streptophyta; Magnoliopsida; Poales; Poaceae.